Long non-coding RNA from Ornithorhynchus anatinus (platypus), 277 nucleotides. RefSeq lists it as uncharacterized. NCBI's taxonomy places the organism in Eukaryota, Metazoa, Chordata, Mammalia, Monotremata, Ornithorhynchidae. The transcript is spliced from 3 exons. The record is from RefSeq and is a predicted model, not a curated record.
GCCCAAGGUCACAGAAAGCAAAUAGCGGAGCUGGGAUUAGAACCUACGAACUUCAGACUCCCCGGCCAGAAUUCUGUCCACUACAACAUGCGUACCCAUUUCUUCUGAUGAGUGGCCAUUGAUUGGAGUAUCCGAGCUAGGAACUAGCAUGGGAAGCGGCAUGGUCUAGCGGAAAGAGUUCUACGGACAGGAAGCGCGGUAUUGUAUAUGGUGCUCCCUUGAAGAGAACUCUUGCUUCGGCCACCAUGCAGCCAGAGAAGAGGAUCCAAAAGGUAAG